AUUGAACGCUGGCGGCAUGCCUUACACAUGCAAGUCGAACGGCAGCACGGGUGCUUGCACCUGGUGGCGAGUGGCGAACGGGUGAGUAAUACAUCGGAACAUGUCCUGUAGUGGGGGAUAGCCCGGCGAAAGCCGGAUUAAUACCGCAUACGAUCUACGGAUGAAAGCGGGGGAACUUCGGGCCUCGCGCUAUAGGGUUGGCCGAUGGCUGAUUAGCUAGUUGGUGGGGUAAAGGUCUACCAAGGCGACGAUCAGUAGCUGGUCUGAGAGGGCGACCAGACACACUGGGACUGAGACACGGCCCAGACUCCUACGGGAGGCAGCAGUGGGGAAUUUUGGGCAAAGGGCGAAAGCCUGAUCCAGCAAUGCCGCGUGUGUGAAGAAGGCCUUCGGGUUGUAAAGCACUUUUGUCCGGAAAGAAAUCCUUGGCCCUAAUACGGUCGGGGGAUGACGGUACCGGAAGAAUAAGCACCGGCUAACUACGUG
Molecule: ribosomal RNA, 486 nt
Filed under: uncultured bacterium
Lineage: Bacteria
Description: partial 16S ribosomal RNA
Rfam family: Bacterial small subunit ribosomal RNA
Source: RNAcentral